Small RNA from Clostridium sp. CAG:226, 76 nucleotides. It matches the Rfam family "Gut-1 RNA". Lineage: Bacteria; Bacillati; Bacillota; Clostridia; Eubacteriales; Clostridiaceae. The record is from Rfam.
CGGUGAAAUUGCGCCCAUGCGCAGUGAAAUAUUGCUUACGCAAUGUGAAAUAUGGCUCCGCCAUGUGAAAUCCGCC